Molecule: microRNA, 23 nt
Filed under: Schmidtea mediterranea
Lineage: Eukaryota; Metazoa; Platyhelminthes; Tricladida; Dugesiidae
Description: sme-miR-2173-5p
Source: miRBase by way of RNAcentral
AACAACUUGUAUAUGCAUACGUA